RNAcentral lists this long non-coding RNA (1519 nucleotides) under Sparus aurata (gilthead seabream). RNAcentral describes it as "lncRNA (ENSSAUG00010014421.1)". Lineage: Eukaryota; Metazoa; Chordata; Actinopteri; Spariformes; Sparidae. The record is from RNAcentral.
GCGUGCACAUCCUGAACUACUUUGUAUUGAUGCACUGAACAUCUCACAUGUGCAGGAUGGUCUUCGGAUUUAUGUACGAGGUCAGGAAGUGGUAAACUUAUCUCAAGUGAAAUGUGCCUCUGCAGUAGCUGCAGUUUGAGAUGAUAUCUGAGAUCUCAAGUGAUGAACAUGCCAAGCCUAAUGGACAGACUGCUGAUGUGUUACUGUUUCACAUGUGUCAGUGUCUAUGGACUAGGACCUGGAACUCAUCAUUCCACCUCUCCGAGCUUUAACGAUUCUUCUAUCGGUGGUGAUGUUGUCAUACAUUCAGCCUUCAACGAGGGGAGUGACGUAAACUUGACAUGCAGCAAUAAGACGUGGAAUGAGACACUAUAUGUUAUCUGGACAAUACAGUUGAAAUACAGAAAUGAAUGCAAGAUAUCCUUAGAUGAUGGAGGGCGAAGAGUAGACACAUGCAAAGAUGGCAAGUCACUCUAUACAUCCAGCACUCAGUCAUACUUGCACAUCCCAAACUUGACCAAUGGCGACGAAGGGGUCUACAAAUGUGAGUCGGUUUAUGAAGGAGGAAUCGAUCGUUAUGAGAUCAACGUGGCCAUCACAGUUCCUCCCAGAAUAUCAGCCUGGUUAGAGAAAGAGGACAACAAGAUGGUGGCAAUGUGCAAAGCUGAAAGAGGAAAACCUGCUGCCAACAUCUUCUGGAGCCAUGAGGGAAACUUAUCGGAUGUGAAAACAUCGUCUGACAAAGAUGGAUUUUUUACAGUAGAGAGUCGUCUGGAGAUCUCAGAAGGAACGAACACAGAAAACCUGAACUGUGCUGUCAGCCACCCGUACUGGAGAGAGGAUAAGAUUUUAGAACCAAAACUCACAAAAGGUUAUUUUUGGCCACGUAUCCUUACUGUUGUGUCAAUCCUGGUGAUUUUGGCAGGAUUUUUACUUUUGUACAAGCGAAAAUAAUGUUGAGGCGAUGUCAGCAGGCGAUGUCAGCAGUUUGACACCUCACCAACCACUUCCCCUGUCACCUCUGGUGUGCCUCAGGGCUCUGUCCUGGGGCCCCUCCUCUUUAUCAUUUAUCUCCUUCCCCUUGGCAAUAUCUUCCGCAAACAUAACAUCACUUUUCACUGUUACGCAGAUGACACCCAGCUCUACCUCGCCAGCAAACCCACUUCCAACCUCCCUCCCUCCUCCCUUACCGACUGCUUAACUGAAAUAAAAUCCUGGUUCACUUCAAAUCUACUAAAACUCAACUCUGACAAAACUGAGAUCCUUCUCAUUGGCACACAGUCAACACUUUCCAAAACCGACAGUUUCCCCCUCAUCAUUGAUAACUGCUCCGUUUCCCCCUCCCCACAGGUUAAGAGUCUGGGUGUCAUCCUCGACAGUACACUCUCCUUCCAAUCUCACAUCAAUAACAUCACCCGGUCUGCUUACUUCCACCUACGCAACAUCAACCGCCUCCGCCCCUCCCUUACUCCCCAUACCACUGCUAUCCUCGUCCAUAGUCUCAUCACUUCCCGUCUGG